CAGCCGCGGUAAUACCCGCUCCCCCGAAUGGUGGGGACGCUUAUUGGGCCUAAAGCAUCCGUAGCCGGCUGGAUAACGUCCCCUGUUAAAUCCAGCGAUUCAAUCGCUGGACUGGCGGGGGAUACUGUCCAGCGUAGGGGCGGGAGAGGCCGACGUAUUCCCCGGGUAGGGGUGAAAUCUUAUAAUCCCGGGAGGACCACCAGUGGCGAAGGC
This 213-nucleotide ribosomal RNA is filed under the name uncultured archaeon. Its description in RNAcentral is "partial 16S ribosomal RNA". It matches the Rfam family "Archaeal small subunit ribosomal RNA", at positions 462 to 673 of the family's 1478-position model. The record is from RNAcentral.